AAGAAGUAAGAAUCCGGGAAGUAAGAUUUUCAGAAGGCAGAACGCCUUCCGUGGAUGCCUACGGUAUCUCAGGAAAGGGACGGUGCGUAAACCGAUAAGACAGCAGAGCUAAGAUAAGUGAAGAAGCUGUCGUUUCCCAGGGUGGAAACACCAAAAAGAAAAGAGCUUCUGUGAACUGAAACAUCUAAGUAACAGAAGAAAGGAAUCAAAAGAGAGACCGUGAGUAGUGGCGAGCGAAAGCGGUGGGAGGCGUGUACAAGAGAUUGUACGGAAUCGACCAAGAGGACACUGAAGCGUCUGGAAAGGCGUUCCAAAGAAGGUGAAAGGCCUGUAAGUGAACCAAAAGGACGAGGAAAGAGAGUAUGGCCCGUUGGAAGGGUCGGAAUAAGGGGGAACCCUCCUCCAGCGCCGAAGAAACUGAGAUACACGGAUAGUGAAAAGUACUGUGAAGGAAAGGUGAAAAGAGAUCCCCUAGCGGGGAGUGCAACAGAACUGAAACGGGAGGCGGACGAAACGGUUCAAGUGUUUUCUUUGAAAAAAGAGAGGAUGCGAGCGUACCUUUUGCAUCAUGGGCCAGCGAGUUUUUGUCAGAAGCAAGCUGAAGGGGGAACCCGAAGGCGUAGCGAAAGCGAGUCUGAAGAGGGCGAAAAGUUUCUGGGAAAAGACCCGAAACCGAGUGAUCUAGUCAUGACCAGGUUGAAGUGGAAACAUGGAGGACCGAACCCACGAAUGUCGCAAAAUUCGGGGAUGAGUUGUGAUUAGGGGUGAAAGGCUCAUCAAACUCGGAGAUAGCUGGUACUCCGCGAAAGCUAUGUAGGUAGCGCCCCAUAUAAAAACUAGAAGAAGGUAGAGCCACUGUCUCGGGAAGGGUUACCGACCCGAUAUAAACUCCGAAGGGCUUCUAGGUAUGUAUGGGAGACAGUCUUGGAGCGAGAAGGUUCUUAGACAAGAGGGAAACAGCCCAGAUCCAUAGAUAAGGUCCCGAAACCGAUUCUGAGUGAGGGAAGGAAGGGUGGAAGAAUAGACAGCGGAGAGGUAGGCUUGGAAGCAGCCAUCCUUGAGAGAAAGCGUAAUAGCUCACCCGUCGAAAAGCUUCCACCCGCCGAGAAUGUAACGGGGCUACGAAUCGUACCGAAUCUUGGAUUUCGUUUCUUUUAUUUUCUUUCUUAUUCAAUUUUUUGAAUUUUUGUGUGAACCUUAAAAAAAGGAAAAUAGGAAGACCAAAAAAAUUGAAUAAGAAAGAAAACAAAAGAAAGGAGAGGUAGCGGAGCAUUGUGUAGGCCGUAGAAGCGUUUCCGAAAGAAAACGUGGAGGUAUCACAAGAGAGAAUGCUGGCAUGAGUAACGAAAAGGUCUGUGAGACACAGGCCCGCCGAAAGGGGAAGGUUUCCUGCGCACGGGCCCACCACGCAGGGGUAAGCGGUCCCUUAGUCCCCUCCGAAAGGACUCGGACAAAGGGCAGACUGAAAAGACUGGAGGAAUACGUGACCCAUGAAAAAAGCGCGCGAAGGAAAAGAAGUGAAUUCGAGGCGGUUUUUUUGUGGCAAGAAAUAGCAUAUUCCGGAAUCGAACUUUUUCUUUUCGGAGGAAAAGCUCGAUGGAAAAACACCGUACCGUAAACCGACACAGGUCCCUGGAUGGAAUACAUUGAGGCGGAGAGAGAACGAUUGAGAAGGAACUCGGCAAAAUACUCUCGUAUCUUCGGUAGAAGAGAGCUUGGGUGAACGAAAAGAGGUUCAGACAAGGGCAGAAAAGAGGGGAGGGCGACUGUUUACUAAAAACACAGGUCUCUGCAAACUCGGAAGAGGAGGUAAAGGGGCUGACGCCUGCCCGGUGCCUGAAAGAUAACUGAAAUUGUGCAAGCAAGGAAGGGAAGGACAGGUAAACGGCGGUCGUAACUCUAACGAUCCUAAGGUAGCGUAACCCACUGACCGAUAAUUACGGUCCGGCAUGAAUGGCGUAACGACUUUCCCACUGUCUCCUCAAUCGACUCAGUGAAAUUGAAAUUCGCGUGAAGAUGCGCGGGUCCCAUGGCUAGACGGAAAGACCCUAUGCACCUUGACGACAGCCUUCUCUUGGGAGGCUCGUUUUCUUCUAUAGCCUACGUGGGAGUCAUAGAAGCUUCUUCGCCAGGAGGAGUGGAGACAACAUUGGAAGACCACGGUGGAAAACGAGCCUCUCUCAUCUCGAAAAAAGAACCCCAGAGGAGGGUUCAAAAAUUAAAAAAAGAGAGACAGGGGAUGGUGGGUCGUUUGGCUGGGGCGGCGGCCUUCGAAAGAGUAACGAAGGCGUACAAAGGUUUCCUGAUGACCGAUGGAAAGGGUCAUCGAAGUGUAAGAGCCCAAGGAAGCUUGACUGUAAGACCGACACGUCGAGCAGGUACGCAAGUAGGUUCUAGUGAUCCGGUGAUUUCGCAGGGAGGAGUCAUCGCACAGCGGAUAAAAGGUACGCUAGGGAUAACAGGCUGAUCCUUCCCGAGAGUUCCUAUCGACGGAAGUGUUUGGCACCUCGAUGUCGGCUCUAGAUGACGGGAGGCUGGAGCAGGUCUCAACCGUUGGACUGUUCGUCCAUGAAAAUCUAACGCGAGCUGGGUUUAGAACGUCGUGAGACAGUUCGGUCCCUAUCUACCAUGGGGGACAGAAGAGUGCGGGGUCUCGUUCCUAGUACGAGAGGACCGGAAUGAACAGACUUCAAGUGCACCCGUUGUUCUCUUCUGAGCACCGCGGGGUAGCCUAGUCUGGAUGGCAUAACAGCGGAAAGCAUCAGCGUUUGGAAGGCCUCCUCAACACUACUCUUCUUGGAUUCUUAGGAAUCUUUCCGUUUGUUCGAGACUAGGACAUGGAUAGGCUCGAGGUGGAAGCGGUGUGAGCCGUGCAGCUGACGAGUACUAAUACGGAU
This 2897-nucleotide ribosomal RNA is filed under the name Hemiarma marina. RNAcentral describes it as "23S ribosomal RNA". It matches the Rfam family "Bacterial large subunit ribosomal RNA". Lineage: Eukaryota; Cryptophyceae; Goniomonadida; Goniomonadaceae. The record is from RNAcentral.